UUUCCAUCCGAAUGUUCAUCCAAGAAACAUCUCAGCACUUUCAAACUACUUGCCAAUCAUCUUCUGUCUUUAAAUCUACAACAUUAAAUGCGAAAACAUCGGUUACAUGCCCAGUACCGGUGAGAAAUCUGGAGGAAUUUGCUACGCCAAUUUUCAAUGCACUCAUUUCGCUCAUGGAAAUGGAUACUGUUUCAUGUUUAGCUAUUUCAGAGGAUUGUUUUCCGAGCAUGAAGCAGGGUGGACUUGUGGUUACAUUCCCAGUCGUCUCAAUUUAGUCGGAUAAGCAGUUGAACUAUACAAAGGAAAUAUAGAACCGCGGCUUUGAAAACGCCAAAAAUCAUGUUCGGAAAAUAUGGACACAAAAAUGUAUUAUGCUAUUGAUUCCCUCAACAAUAACAAAAAAAGGAAUUGGGAUUUUAUAGUUUUCAUCUAGUUGUCA
Molecule: long non-coding RNA, 439 nt
Organism: Daphnia pulex (common water flea)
Lineage: Eukaryota; Metazoa; Arthropoda; Branchiopoda; Diplostraca; Daphniidae
Exons: 2
Source: RefSeq, a predicted model, not a curated record